RNAcentral lists this ribosomal RNA (305 nucleotides) under uncultured bacterium. Its description in RNAcentral is "bacterial SSU rRNA". It matches the Rfam family "Bacterial small subunit ribosomal RNA", at positions 335 to 656 of the family's 1533-position model. The record is from RNAcentral.
GAGCCUACGGGGGGCAGCAGUGGGGGAUAUUGCACAAUGGGGGAAACCCUGAUGCAGCGACGCCGCGUGAGUGAAGAAGUAUUUCGGUACGUAAAGCUCUAUCAGCAGGGAAGAAUAAUGACGGUACCUGACUAAGAAGCCCCGGCUAACUACGUGCCAGCAGCCGCGGUAAUACGUAGGGGGCAAGCGUUAUCCGGAUUUACUGGGUGUAAAGGGAGCGUAGACGGCUGUGCAAGUCUGAAGUGAAAGGCCGAGGCCCAGCCCCGGGACUGCUCUGGAAACUAUUGAACUUGAGUGCAGGAGAG